AAUAUUGCGCAAUGGAGGAAACUCUGACGCAGCGACGCCGCGUGAGCGAUGAAGGUCUUCGGAUCGUAAAGCUCUGUCCUUGGGGAAGAAGGUCUUCGGACUUGACGGUACCCAUGGAGGAAGCCCCGGCUAACUACGUGCCAGCAGCCGCGGUAAUACGUAGGGGGCAAGCGUUGUCCGGAAUUAUUGGGCGUAAAGGGUGCGUAGGCGGCCUUUUAAGUCAGAUGUGAAAGGCUACGGCUUAACCGUAGUUAGCAUUUGAAACUAAAAGGCUUGAGUGCAGGAGAGGAGAGUGGAAUUCCUAGUGUAGCGGUGAAAUGCGUAGAUAUUAGGAGGAACAUCAGUGGCGAAGGCGACUUUCUGGACUGUAACUGACGCUGAGGUACGAAAGCGUGGGUAGCGAAC
RNAcentral lists this ribosomal RNA (405 nucleotides) under uncultured bacterium. RNAcentral describes it as "partial 16S ribosomal RNA". It matches the Rfam family "Bacterial small subunit ribosomal RNA", at positions 360 to 773 of the family's 1533-position model. The record is from RNAcentral.